Molecule: ribosomal RNA, 420 nt
Filed under: uncultured bacterium
Lineage: Bacteria
Description: bacterial SSU rRNA
Rfam family: Bacterial small subunit ribosomal RNA
Source: RNAcentral
UGGGGAAUCUUGCUCAAUGGGAGAAAUCCUGAAGCAGCAACGCCGCGUGGAGGAUGAAGGGUCUAUGACUUGUAAACUCCUGUAAAGAAGGAAAAAAUUCCCAUUUGAUGGGAGAUGAUGGUACUUCUGGAGUAAGCCCCGGCUAACUACGUGCCAGCAGCCGCGGUAAUACGUAGGGGGCAAGCGUUGUCCGGAUUUACUGGGUGUAAAGGGUGCUCAGGCGGAUUUGUAAGUCAGAGGUGAAAUCUUACAGCUUAACUGUGAAACUGCCUUUGAUACUGCAAGCCUAGAGUAUGGAAGAGAGUGAUGGAAUAUCUGGUGUAGCAGUGAAAUGCGUAGAUAUCAGAUAGAACACCGAUGGCGAAGGCAGUCACUUGGUCCAUUACUGACGCUAAAGCACGAAAGCGUGGGUAGCAAACA